This 927-nucleotide long non-coding RNA is filed under the name Meleagris gallopavo (turkey). RNAcentral describes it as "lncRNA (ENSMGAG00000020048.1)". Lineage: Eukaryota; Metazoa; Chordata; Aves; Galliformes; Phasianidae. The record is from RNAcentral.
ACUCCCUGUACAGAUCUCUGAUAAUACGGCACAACCAUUCUCAUCACAGGGUGAAAUUCUGAUGUUCCUGAAAUCAAGGAAAUAUUUCCAUUGACUUCAGCAGAACCAGGAUUUCAACCACUUUUUUAGUGCCGUGCUCUUUCAGGUAAGAAAAUGCAGAAAUAUUGAGAACGCAUGGCAUAAACGUAUAUGCCAUGUAGACAAUUUCCCUACAAAAACAAAAAACGGAAAAGUCAGACUGAACUGAUUUGACUGUUCUACAAAUCUCUCUUGACAGCUGGGGCCAGCACAGCUUUCCACUAAAGCUUUUGGCCUGGGUAGAUUAUUUUGAUUAAAUAAAUAUACCUACAAGAUAUGGAAGACAUCUGCUUGAGUGUGAACUGAGCUGCUUCUAGAUUGGCAUUGAGUCUAAGAGAUAUCUGCAGAAACUAAGUAAACUUGGUCACAUGGACUUUACAACUUUCUACUUAAGUUUUGAAGGGAGCCCUGACCAUGUCCUGAGACAUAAGCUGAGGGAGCUUGAUUUGAAAAUGACAGCCCUAGAUAUAAUGCUAGCAUCAGCCAAGAAUUCUCCUUGAGGCCUUGAUAAGCUCAAGAAAAUUCCUGUUCACUCAGUGCCACCCUAGAAGGCCAAAAGUUUGGACACUUGUGCUCUAUACCCUUGGCUGAAGACGCUCCUUUCACUUUGUCACAUUUACAGUUGGCUGCAUGGACUUUACAAAAAACAUGUCUACCUUGAAGCCAGGAUAAGAAAAUACAGCAUCUCCAAACUUCUCUUCUUUUUUCUGAAUCGUGAUUAAUAUUCUGUCACAACAUUUUUAUAUUAGAAGCCAGUUGCCAGUUUGGCCAUUAGGAGCUUUGUUGAUUGGGAUAUCUCACUUACUGUUAAAGUGAAACAGGAUUAUAGUUUUUAAAUUCAACAAGGGA